Molecule: ribosomal RNA, 200 nt
Filed under: uncultured bacterium
Lineage: Bacteria
Description: partial 16S ribosomal RNA
Rfam family: Bacterial small subunit ribosomal RNA
Source: RNAcentral
AGAGUUUGAUCAUGGCUCAGGAUAAACGCUGGCGGCGUGCCUAACACAUGCAAGUCGAACGCCCUACGCAAGUAGGGAGUGGCGGACGGGUGAGGAACACGUGGGUACCUGCCCUUCAGUGAGGAAUACCGGCGAGAAAUCGCCGACAAGACCGCAUAGGCUUGGAAACAAGCAAAGCUCGCAAGAGCGCUGAAGGAUGG